UCAGCAGCAGCAGCAAAGGCAGCUAAGUACGGAGCUGGUGUUCCUGGCAUCGCUGGCGUUCCUGGCAUUGCCGGUGUUCCUGGAGUUCCUGGUGUUCCUGGUGUUCCUGGUGUUCCUGGAGUUCCCGGUGUUCCUGGUGUUCCUGGCGCUGUGCCCGGUGUUGGAGUGGGUGGCCCGGCAGCGGCGGCUGCAGCCAAGGCUGCGGCAAAAGCAGCGGCGAUCGGAGCAGGACGCGUGCCCGGCGUUGGCGUGCCCGGCGUUGGCGUGCCCGGCGUUGGCGUUCCCGGAGUGCGUGUGCCUGGAGUGGGUGUGCCUGGAGUGGGUGUGCCUGGUGCUGGCGUGCCCGGUUUGGUGCCCGGGGUCGGUGUUCCAGGAGGUCCGGCAGCCGCUGCCAAAGCCGCCGCCAAAGCAGCCAAGUACGGAGCAGGUGGCCUGGCUCCCGGCGUGGGUGGCCUGGCUCCCGGCGUGGGUGGCCUGGUUCCUGGAGUAGGUGGCCUGGUUCCUGGAGUAGGUGGCCUGGUUCCCGGUGUUGGAGGUGUCCCAGGUGUUGGAGGUCCAGCAGCAGCAGCCAAAGCAGCAGCCAAGGCAGCCAAAUUUGGUGCUGGGGCUGGAGGGGUGCCCGGUGUGGGCGGAGUGCCCGGAGUGACCCCCGGCGUUGGUGGCGUGCCCGGCUUGGUGCCAGGGGUGGGAGUACCUGGAACUGGCAUCCUUCCCGGGGCAGGCAUCCCCCAAGUAGGGGUGCAGCCCGGUGCUAAACCUCCCAAAUUCGGUGUUCCUGGGGUUGGAGUCCCAGGAGUUGGUGGCCUCCCAGGUGGCCUAGGAGUCGGUGGGCUCGGAGCUGGUGGCCUCGGGGUUGGAGUUCCCGGCUUCGGCGUAUCACCGAUAUUUCCAGGGAAGCCCCCCAAGCCCUACGGAGGAGCCCUGGGUGCCCUGGGCUUUAGAGGUGAGCGCGUUUCCCGGCUGGCAGGGCCGGUUGUGCCCCCGGCCGUGCCCCCGGCAGUGCGGGCUGCGGGGUGCGGGCUGCGGGGUGCGGGGUGCGGGCUGCGGGCAGGGCUCACCCCGCGUUCCGUGCAGGCGGAGCGGGCUGUGCGGCAGGGAAGUACUGCGGCAGGAAGCGGAAGUAACGCUCCGUCACCGAUCACCUCAUGAACUUUGGUGCUACUGCAUGGUCCAGAAUGUAAAUCCGAAGCAAAGCUGAGACACCCCCUCCUCAGGCCCCGGAACCCCCCCCCGUCCAUGCCGGGGCCGUGCCCGGCCCCGCGUUCCACGGAGGGACCCCGCGUUCCCCGGCAGCGUCCGGGGCCCCCCGGCCCUCGGUCCCGGCAGGGAGCGCGGAAUAAAGUGCGGGGAGCAGCCGUCCCCCUUGGUGCU
Molecule: long non-coding RNA, 1371 nt
Filed under: Parus major (Great Tit)
Lineage: Eukaryota; Metazoa; Chordata; Aves; Passeriformes; Paridae
Description: lncRNA (ENSPMJG00000018864.1)
Source: RNAcentral